RNAcentral lists this long non-coding RNA (310 nucleotides) under Homo sapiens (human). RNAcentral describes it as "lncAB218.6". Lineage: Eukaryota; Metazoa; Chordata; Mammalia; Primates; Hominidae. The record is from RNAcentral.
GUUCUCAAGAGAUCUGACAGUUUUAUAAGGGUCUUUUCCCCUUUUGCUCAGCACUUCUCCUUCCUGCCUGCCACCAUGUGAAGAAGGAUGUGUUUGCUUCCCCUUCCACCAUGACUGUAAGUUUCCUGAGGCCUCCCCAGCCAUGCUGAACGCACGCCAUGGGUCAUCAGCAACUGGAGGAAGCGCCGGUGGACAUCAGUCAUGACGCCCAUUCUCCUUGUGCUGCCCUGCAUGUGGGAACGAACUGAAAAGGAAGUAAAUGACACUAGUCAACCCCAAGCACAUCAGAAGCAACGUCCUGGGUCUUGUA